Molecule: ribosomal RNA, 301 nt
Filed under: uncultured bacterium
Lineage: Bacteria
Description: partial 16S ribosomal RNA
Rfam family: Bacterial small subunit ribosomal RNA
Source: RNAcentral
CAGUAGCCGCGGUAAUACGUAGGGUGCAAGCGUUAAUCGGAAUUACUGGGCGUAAAGCGUGCGCAGGCGGUUCUAUAAGACAGAUGUGAAAUCCCCGGGCUCAACCUGGGAACUGCAUUUGUGACUGUAGAGCUGGAGUACGGUAGAGGGGGAUGGAAUUCCGCGUGUAGCAGUGAAAUGCGUAGAUAUGCGGAGGAACACCGAUGGCGAAGGCAAUCCCCUGGACCUGUACUGACGCUCAUGCACGAAAGCGUGGGGAGCAAACAGGAUUAGAUACCCCUGUAGUCCCUGUCUCUUAUAC